This 2067-nucleotide long non-coding RNA is filed under the name Homo sapiens (human). Its description in RNAcentral is "HSALNT0316530". The record is from RNAcentral. Lineage: Eukaryota; Metazoa; Chordata; Mammalia; Primates; Hominidae.
GCAUUUCAAAGCCAGGCCUGAUUCGGGGUACAAGGAAGAACAGACCUAUGUGCAUUUUGUAGGAAGAAAACUGUGAAUGGAAAAAGGAGAAGGGGAGAGAAACGGGGGAAAUCUGGAUAAUACAUUAAAGUAACCAUAAUUUUGGAGAUGCAUUCAUCUUAUUGAAAAUAUGUACGUAACCAGUGAUACCGAAGUCGGAUAUUUGCUCAAUCAGGAUGCUCAACAAUUUGAGCCUUUAAAGUUUGGAGCUGCAUGGGUUUGUGGAGAAAGUCGGCUCGUGAUGUGUGUGAUGUUUUUCUCCAACUUUUUCUUUUUCUUCUAUGCUUUGGGAUCUUGUGGGAAGUACCUCAAGAAAACCUGAAGAUGCUAAUUUUUAGACAACUAAUACUUCCUAUUUUCCCUCCUUUUGCCUGCUAGAUUUCCUCAUGGUUGUGAUUCCUCUUCACUCUUUUGAAUUUGGAAGGAUGGCAUACACAUCUGAAAAAUAGUAAGUAAUGUGUGAUUUAUUUUUCAAUUACUGUUACUAAUUGUAAUAAAGCUGAAAUUUGAUUACUGGAGGAGUUUGAAAUCAUCAUGCAUGCCUUGAAGGAAAAUGGGUUUUGUGAAACAUUUGCAUUAUUUGGUGUGAAUUACCUUUGGUGUGAUUUAACUGUUUAUCACACAAUUACUGUUGUGAUAAUGAAUGUGUUAUUCACUAUUGCUAAAUUUACCCAGUAUAUUCUGUAAUAACUAAGUAUUUGUGCCAUAUAAUAUAUGCAUUCUUAGUGCAACAGUUUAAGAAACAAUGCAAAAAUUGCAGGGAACUGUCUUUGGAGAUGCUAAGUUUUCUUGUUUUAUAUACCACACAAUCUUCCUCACACAUUUAUAGUUUUAAUUCAUAGUAAUAAUGUUUUCUAGAGACCUUUCUAUUUAUGCCUGAAAUGAAAUUCUCAUAUAAAUUAUGUGAGCUUAUUUCUUCAAAAUGAAUAUCCAGAGAGAGGCAAGAAUUAUUCUGACAUUAUUAAACUGCAUUUUUAAUGCAGUUUAAGUGACAUUUCUUAUAAUUUAAUCAAGCAUUAUAAUUAAAAUAACAAAGCUUUGAUUAGAGACUUUUUUUUUCAUUUGGGAAAGUGAAAAGUUCAUUUUUACCUUCCUAAAAAUAAGACAGACAUAUGCUAUCUGAAGACAUGAUACCUUGGAUUAGAGUACAUGCCACAAGUAUUUUUUAAAACAUAGAUGCAGCAUUGGCAUUUCUGAGUAACUACAGUGCAUAUUUUAAAUAUAUAAAUGCCUUAGAAUGAAGCAAUAUGGGGCAGAAUUAGUUCUGAAAUCUCUGAGGUAGCUUGAACAGUAUUUGCAUUAGGGCUGGCACUGCUAAAGCAAGCAGAUCCUGGGAAUUUCAUGUAGGCAAACAUGAGAUCCUUGUUUCUGGAGACAAGAAAAAAAAAGAUUAAUUAAAACCAAGUCCUAUGUUGUUUAACCCUUAAAAUAACAGUCAGUAUUUAUAGGGAUGCUGAAAUGGGGAAAAGGAUUCAGAUUAUUUCACAGAGGUCUCUGCGAGGGCCAAACCCUUUCCCUUCUAACUAUUCCUCACAUCGAAUAUAAAUUCCUGGAAGUUUGUAUUUAAGAUGACGUCUGUUUUCUGAGCUUUUGCAGCUGCAGGUCUCUUUUCCAACUUCCUACAUUUAUCUUUGCCUGUGUUUUUGAGCCAUUUGCUGCCUCCUAAUGCCUAACUUUAAAAUAGCAUGCAUGGCAGCCUGCCAAGACGGUGGCAGUGGCAUAUUGGUUUGUAUUGGUGUUGAAGUUGCAAAGUUUUUGUUACCGAUAAUUUAUAACAAUUGCAACAAAAGAGAUUAUCAAAACCCGAGGGGAUAGGAGACAGGAAGGAGAACAAAACUGCUGCACUUCUUGAUGGAUCAAAGUGUGAUUCUUCCUGCAAUAGCGAGUUGGGUUGUUGUGUUGUCUACAUGGGUAUGAUGCUCUAGAUGACCUGCACAUUGUCACUGUAGUGAUUGCCUGUAAUGUUAGAUUGACAGAAAAGUGCAAUAUAAAAGAGGGUUUGUCUAGGGGAUGUAAUUAAUUAUACAU